Cyprinus carpio (common carp) is the source of this 190-nucleotide long non-coding RNA. RefSeq lists it as uncharacterized. The record is from RefSeq and is a predicted model, not a curated record. NCBI's taxonomy places the organism in Eukaryota, Metazoa, Chordata, Actinopteri, Cypriniformes, Cyprinidae. The transcript has 3 exons.
GCACAGGAUGAGCCAAUAAACUCUGCGUCUCACACCAGUCUGAAGUAUUUGACAAACCCGGCUGAAUGCUCUUGAUGAAAAGAUGGCAAAACCAAAAAAUAUCAAAAGCUGUAAAAAAUUGGAGCAACUUUUGAAUGAAUAUGCAGAACAAAUACAGGAGCUGUGUCGUCUUAACGACAUAUGCCCAAAA